Molecule: ribosomal RNA, 451 nt
Filed under: uncultured bacterium
Lineage: Bacteria
Description: partial 16S ribosomal RNA
Rfam family: Bacterial small subunit ribosomal RNA
Source: RNAcentral
GUGGGGAAUAUUGGACAAUGGGGGGAACCCUGAUCCAGCCAUGCCGCGUGUGUGAAGAAGGCCUUUUGGUUGUAAAGCACUUUAAGCGAGGAGGAGGCUACCGAGAUUAAUACUCUUGGAUAGUGGACGUUACUCGCAGAAUAAGCACCGGCUAACUCUGUGCCAGCAGCCGCGGUAAUACAGAGGGUGCAAGCGUUAAUCGGCUUUACUGGGCGUAAAGCGCGCGUAGGUGGCCAAUUAAGUCAAAUGUGAAAUCCCCGAGCUUAACUUGGGAAUUGCAUUCGAUACUGGUUGGCUAGAGUAUGGGAGAGGAUGGUAGAAUUCCAGGUGUAGCGGUGAAAUGCGUAGAGAUCUGGAGGAAUACCGAUGGCGAAGGCAGCCAUCUGGCCUAAUACUGACACUGAGGUGCGAAAGCAUGGGGAGCAAACAGGAUUAGAUACCCGUGUAGUCC